GGAAGUUCUAUGACAGUUGAGACAAACUGGAAGUUCUGUGACAGGUGAGACAAACGGGAAGUUCUAUGACAGGUGAGACAAACGGGAAGUUAUAUGACAGAUGAGACAAAUGGGAAGUUCUAUGACAGGUGAGACAAAUGGCAAGUAUUAUGACAGGUGAGACAAAUGGGAAGUGUUAUGACAGGUGAGACAAAUGGGAAGUGUUAUGACAGGUGAGACAAAUGGGAAGUUCUAUGACAGGUGAGACAAAUGGGAAGUUCUAUGACAGGUGAGACAAAUGGGAAGUUCUAUGACAGGUGAGACAAAUGGGAAGUAUUAUGACAGGUGAGACAAAUGGGAAGUGUUAUGACAGGUGAGACAAAUGGGAAGUGUUAUGACAGGUGAGACAAAUGGAAAGUGUUAUGACAG
Molecule: long non-coding RNA, 408 nt
Organism: Oncorhynchus keta (chum salmon)
Lineage: Eukaryota; Metazoa; Chordata; Actinopteri; Salmoniformes; Salmonidae
Exons: 3
Source: RefSeq, a predicted model, not a curated record